RNAcentral lists this ribosomal RNA (254 nucleotides) under uncultured bacterium. Its description in RNAcentral is "partial 16S ribosomal RNA". It matches the Rfam family "Bacterial small subunit ribosomal RNA", at positions 524 to 776 of the family's 1533-position model. The record is from RNAcentral.
UACGGGGGGGGGCAAGCGUUGUUCGGAAUUACUGGGCGUAAAGGGCGCGUAGGCGGCCCGCUAAGUCGAACGUGAAAUCCCCGAGCUCAACUCGGGAACUGCGUCCGAUACUGGCGGGCUUGAAUCCGGGAGAGGGAUGCGGAAUUCCAGGUGUAGCGGUGAAAUUCGUAGAUAUUCGCAAGAACACCAGUGGCGAAGGCGGCUCACUGGCCCAUUACUGACGCUGAGGCACGAAAGCGUGGGGAGCAAACAGG